This 331-nucleotide unclassified non-coding RNA is filed under the name soil metagenome. RNAcentral describes it as "partial contains 5.8S ribosomal RNA, internal transcribed spacer 2, and large subunit ribosomal RNA". The stretch from base 1 to 120 matches the Rfam family "5.8S ribosomal RNA", at positions 35 to 154 of the family's 154-position model. The record is from RNAcentral.
GAUGAAGAACGCAGUGAAAUGCGAUACGUAAUGUGAAUUGCAGAUUUCAGUGAAUCAUCGAAUCUUUGAACGCACAUUGCGCCCGCCAGUAUUCUGGCGGGCAUGCCUGUUCGAGCGUCAUUUCAACCAUCAAGCGCCUCGCUUGAGUUGGGGCCCUGCGGCUGCCGCAGGCCCCUAAAUCCAGUGGCGGGCUCGUCGUCGUACCGAGUGCAGUAAACAUCCUCGCUCAGGGAACCCGACGGGUGCCGGCCGUGAAACCCCCCCUCCUCAAGGUUGACCUCGGAUCAGGUAGGAAUACCCGCUGAACUUAAGCAUAUCAAUAAGCGGAGGA